CCGCCGGCGACCGGCGCACGGGUGAGUAACACGUAUGCAACCUGGCCGUGACAGAUGGAUAACCGGGAGAAAUCCCGCCUAAUACAACAUAAUGCCGGGAGGGGACAUCCCCUGCCGGUCAAAGGGGGCGACCCCGGUCAUGGAUGGGCAUGCGGCGCAUUAGGUAGUUGGUGGGGCAACGGCCCACCAAGUCGACGAUGCGUAGGGGUUCUGAGAGGAAGGUCCCCCACAUUGGAACUGAGACACGGUCCAAACUCCUACGGGAGGCAGCAG
Molecule: ribosomal RNA, 273 nt
Filed under: uncultured bacterium
Lineage: Bacteria
Description: partial 16S ribosomal RNA
Rfam family: Bacterial small subunit ribosomal RNA
Source: RNAcentral